AUACAGGGGGUGCGAGCGUUAAUCGGAAUUACUGGGCGUAAAGAGUACGUAGGCGGUUGCUUAUGUCAGAUGUGAAAGCCCCGGGCUCAACCUGGGAACUGCAUUUGAAACUGAGUGACUAGAGUUUAAGAGAGGGGAGUAGAAUUCCGGGUGUAGCGGUGAAAUGCGUAGAGAUCCGGAGGAAUACCAGUGGCGAAGGCGGCUCCCUGGCUUAAAACUGACGCUGAGGUACGAAAGCGUGGGUAGCAAACAGGAUUAGAUACCCCAGUAGUCC
Molecule: ribosomal RNA, 274 nt
Filed under: uncultured bacterium
Lineage: Bacteria
Description: partial 16S ribosomal RNA
Rfam family: Bacterial small subunit ribosomal RNA
Source: RNAcentral